Long non-coding RNA from Poecilia reticulata (guppy), 965 nucleotides. RefSeq lists it as uncharacterized. The record is from RefSeq and is a predicted model, not a curated record. Lineage: Eukaryota; Metazoa; Chordata; Actinopteri; Cyprinodontiformes; Poeciliidae.
GCCAUUUUGCUUCACGUGAAGUAACACAGGAAGUUAAUGACGUGUAACUCUGGAGGCUUGGCAGCUUUUCAUUGUUGCAGGUGGGGGGGCAACUUCACUCAGGUCACUCUCUGUGCUGCUGCUGCUCCUGGUUUGCGCACCACAAGCCGUCCAUUAUUACGGCACCGUGAUGACCUACUACCCAAAGGAAAUGACGACCAAUGGAUCUCUCUUGGUAAACGUUCGCUACAAGCUGAGCUUCGUUUCUUGUACAGCCAACGACACGUGGAGCUGCAGCGGCAACCGUGGAUGUGAGACGGCGGACRUGGAGCUGAAAAGCAACCUAUAAAAUGAAAGUACAAAUGCAAAAUGUACAMAUUGCUGUUGUUAAUUUCAUUAUGGCAGCUUCACAUCAAGUUAGCAAUUUUAAAUUGUUUUAUAGUUUCAUGGAAACUUUUUGUCAAUUUUACUGUUUAUCACUGUAUUUUCAGAAACUCAUGUCUACGUGUAAAAAUUAAUGAACAAAAGCAUUUUGUAUGUUUGUGCAGUAUUCAUGCAUCUGUUUGUGUGCAAAAGAUAUUUAAAGUUACUUAAUGUUUAAACUGUGACAUAAGCUGACAAACUGAUGAAUGGAUGAGAUAGUUUCUAAGGUCUAAUGACGGAUCCACCAGUUUGGUGAAGAAAAACUGRAUAAUCUGUCUAAUCCAAACAUAGCUGAAUCAUAACUAACCCUUUUGUUUCUUUUACAGAUUAAAAAUGAACUGACUGAUYAAGGAUUACCGCAAAACGUCAUCGGACAAACGGUGCACUGGAAAUGACAACAGCUGCCCCCUAGUGGCCAAAAAGCGGAAUGUUACUGAACUCUGCAGGAAAUGAGUUUCCAGAUGUUUUUAUUCAGCUUCACUGUUUCAUCUCCUGUCUGUAUAUUGUUGACUAUAUUUUAUUUGAUGUUUACACAUACAUUUAGCUUGUUUAUUUAUAAAUCA